Trichoplusia ni (cabbage looper) is the source of this 1465-nucleotide long non-coding RNA. RefSeq lists it as uncharacterized. The transcript is spliced from 3 exons. NCBI's taxonomy places the organism in Eukaryota, Metazoa, Arthropoda, Insecta, Lepidoptera, Noctuidae. The record is from RefSeq and is a predicted model, not a curated record.
AAUAAGGUCGUUUGUCGCGCGGCACGUGUGCGGCGGCGCUUGCGCUUGUCGCCCGCGGCGUCACCAGGCGUCACGACUCACGAGCCCACACCGUCCCAGCCACUCGUCAUUUCGAUGUAAUAACGAGCAGUCGUGUCGCUACAGGGCUCAUUGUAGUUCACACGAAAGCCCUUAAUAGUGCCUUUUCAAAUGUAGUCCUUUGGUGUUAUUCAGCGCAAAGGCUUUAUAUCUGAACUUCGAGAGGAAAAUCGAUGCAAUCAUCAGUUGCGGUCUAGAUCAGUAUCGACCGUCUCCCACAGUCUACAGCAGUGGUCUAUCCCGAUGGGUUGAGAACGCCGACGUUUUGUGAUAGUGGUCACACCACUCACGCUGUAUUUGUUAGACGAUGAAACGUUACAAGAUAAAACGGAAGAAGAAAUAUGUGUGAUGCCAACAUGGGAAUUUAAAUCUAAAACUAUUCGAAUGAAACCUUUAGUUAAACGGAACGAUGAGCCUAGUCCAGCCGAUUUACCACAAAAUCUCAUUCAAGUCGAUGAUGCUCCUCGUUCGUCUGAAUUACAGCUUGUUGCCCCUUUUUUUUCAUCUGAGGGUCGUUUUCAACCAUGGUUCAAUUGGAUACCCAUUUGUAACCCAAUGGAAACACCUGGACCAGGUGAAUAUUGUACGGAUAAACCUGAAUGUACGCCUGCGGUCGUUAAAGGCCCUCUAUGUAGAGCAGAGCGUUUUCCAGUAGGUAGAUACAAAAGUCCUUCACCGAAUAAGUAUAGGAUUCACGAUGGAAUCGAAACCAUCUUAGCAACACACAAUCUAAGGUUGAAAAAGAAUGUAAACGCUAAUAAUGCUUCAUUUCGUUGGGAACAACCACAAGAACAAAAAAGUUUAAGCUACGAAGAACAAGAAGCUGAGCUAUUAUCUAAAUCUAUUUCUUUAUUAGACCCAGAAGACGACGAACCUCAAAAACCAGUUCAUAUAAUUCCACAACCGGUAGUUGCAGAAAAAGACAAACCAAAAAUGUUACGCACCUUCUUAUAUGCAAGACCUUUACCCAAGUAUAUGUAGAAAAAUCUGGCAUAUCCAUGGUGACUUAUUUUGAUAGUUGUUGUAAAAUGUUACCCGUUACAGCCUCUCGAACUCAUAUCCACGAAAUAAUCAUUAAAAUUUUAUUCACCGCCUUUUUCCUAUUGAGCUGCAGUGCUUGACAAUGUAGUAUUUUAAUGACAUCAAUGAUGUCGAGUUGAUGCUUCAAUGUAAAGUAAAACCCAACAAGUGGCGCCGUAACACUAUAGCAUAGAUUUAGAUUUACAUGAUGACAUGAUUCUUUAUCUAAACACUAUAGGAACGUUACGGUACGAAGCAGUUUACCCAUUCAAAGUUAUGUCUUCAAAAAUAUGUUUAAGGGAUUUUACUCCCAACAUUUUGGAGUAUUAAUACAAAAUUAAGAAUAGUAUUUACAUCCUAUUCACAA